UGCAGUCGAGCGGAUGAAGGGAGCUUGCUCCUGGAUUCAGCGGCGGACGGGUGAGUAAUGCCUAGGAAUCUGCCUGGUAGUGGGGGAUAACGUCCGGAAACGGGCGCUAAUACCGCAUACGUCCUGAGGGAGAAAGUGGGGGAUCUUCGGACCUCACGCUAUCAGAUGAGCCUAGGUCGGAUUAGCUAGUUGGUGGGGUAAAGGCCUACCAAGGCGACGAUCCGUAACUGGUCUGAGAGGAUGAUCAGUCACACUGGAACUGAGACACGGUCCAGACUCCUACGGGAGGCAGCAGUGGGGAAUAUUGGACAAUGGGCGAAAGCCUGAUCCAGCCAUGCCGCGUGUGUGAAGAAGGUCUUCGGAUUGUAAAGCACUUUAAGUUGGGAGGAAGGGCAGUAAGUUAAUACCUUGCUGUUUUGACGUUACCAACAGAAUAAGCACCGGCUAACUUCGUGCCAGCAGCCCNGGUAAUA
RNAcentral lists this ribosomal RNA (473 nucleotides) under Pseudomonas aeruginosa. Its description in RNAcentral is "bacterial SSU rRNA". It matches the Rfam family "Bacterial small subunit ribosomal RNA", at positions 56 to 525 of the family's 1533-position model. The record is from RNAcentral. Lineage: Bacteria; Pseudomonadati; Pseudomonadota; Gammaproteobacteria; Pseudomonadales; Pseudomonadaceae.